AAGAAACUUGUUCUGCAAGAAAGUAAAUUCUGAAUUAAUUUAAGAAACUAUAAGUAAUUAAAGAAACUAAUCCAGUAAGAUAAGCAAAUAAAAUCAGAGAUUCUUGAUUGAUGUUUCAUAAUUAUAAAAAUAUAAACGGAAUUAUAUAUUUGUCAUCCCUUCUACCAAGCUGCGAAAAUCCAUGAAAAAAUAUGGAAACAAAUUAAAGAGCGAUAACUGCUUCAAAUUGGCAAGCAUAGUACAACAUUUACGCUUUGUUCUUUUGUUCAGCGUUCACAAGAUCACUAUACUUGUUUACAGAAAUUUCGGUUUCCUCGUUCUUCUUCCAUUUCUUCCUCUGGAAGGCCAAGAUAACGGAAACAAAUCCCAUUGAAACAGUAACGCGAACACAAGCAUAGAGAUAAAAGAUUUCACAUUCAACUCCAAAAGAAUGGAAGAGAAAAAGAAAACAGAUAAUUACUUAAAGUAUACGUAAAGAUUCAGGGAGAA
RNAcentral lists this unclassified non-coding RNA (489 nucleotides) under Hevea brasiliensis (rubber tree). The record is from RNAcentral. Lineage: Eukaryota; Viridiplantae; Streptophyta; Magnoliopsida; Malpighiales; Euphorbiaceae.